UACGGGGGGUGCGAGCGUUGUCCGGAAUCACUGGGCGUAAAGGGCGCGUAGGUGGCGCGGCAAGUCAGCGGUGAAAGCCCGAGGCUCAACUUCGGGUCGGCCGUUGAUACUGCUGUGCUUGAGCACUGUAGAGGCAGGUGGAAUUCCGGGUGUAGCGGUGGAAUGCGUAGAGAUCCGGAAGAACACCGGUGGCGAAGGCGGCCUGCUGGGCAGUUGCUGACACUGAGGCGCGACAGCGUGGGGAGCAAACAGG
RNAcentral lists this ribosomal RNA (253 nucleotides) under uncultured bacterium. RNAcentral's name for it is "partial 16S ribosomal RNA". It matches the Rfam family "Bacterial small subunit ribosomal RNA", at positions 524 to 776 of the family's 1533-position model. The record is from RNAcentral.